GCAUUGGUGGUUCAGUGGUAGAAAUCUUUCUUUCCAUGUGGGAGACCCAGGUUCAUUUCCUGGCCAAUGCA
This 71-nucleotide transfer RNA is filed under the name Loxodonta africana (African savanna elephant). It matches the Rfam family "tRNA". From Rfam's summary of the family: Transfer RNA (tRNA) molecules are approximately 80 nucleotides in length. Lineage: Eukaryota; Metazoa; Chordata; Mammalia; Proboscidea; Elephantidae. The record is from Rfam by way of RNAcentral.